AAAUCAAGUGUCAACCACUACCGACAGUACUACACCCAUUAAAAAAAUAUGAAUCCAAUUGAAGAAUUUACUGUAACACCUUCAAAAUCUACAUUGACUAAAGAAAGUGGAUCUAAAGUAUCAGUACUAUAGUAAAAUUAAAUACCCAUUUUAGCUUACAUCUUAUCAAUGUGAAAAAACCCAGUUAUAAUACCCAUUAUAGUAGAUCCAUUUUCUUCUAUAGAUCUCAGUUUCAAUUGCCUUCAGCUAAAGAGAAAACUAAAAAAAGGAAAAAAAAAAAAUGGCAAGGCAAUCUGGGACAUGUUUAAGAUGUUGUUUAGUAAUUUUUGCUGUAGUUUCAGCUCUUUGUGUAUCUGGUCCUGCUAUUUAUUGGAAAUUUAAGAAGGGUUUAAGGUUAAAAGCUGCUCAAUCUUGUUUGCCUUGUAAAUGUGAUUGUUCUCCUCCACUUUCACUUCUUGAAGUUGCUCCUGGCUUGGCAAACCUUACAAUUACAGACUGCGGCAAAGAUGAUCCGGAUCUAAAGGAGGAGAUGGAGAAACAGUUUGUGGAUUUAUUAUCGGAAGAGCUGAAGUUGCAGGAAGCUGUCGACAAGGAGCACGUCCAUCAUAUGAACAUCACCUUUGUGGAGGCAAGAAGGUUAGCUUCUGAGUACCAAAAGGAGGCUGAGAAAUGCAUUGCUACAACGAAANCGAAACUUGUGAAGUCGGGCGAGAAAGAGCUGUCGUGUUGCUUGCCAAAGAAAAGAAGUUGACGUCCGUUUGGGAGCGUAGAGCGCGCCAAGCUGGUUGGCAAGGAGAAUAAAGAUUAAAAAAAAAAAAAACUAGUGAAUAAGUUUAUCUUUAACUGCAGUAGCUCAAAUUUUGUUGUCCACUGUUGUAGCUUAUGUUAGUUCUAUCUCUCUAUGAGCACAAAAAUGCUCAUAUUUCUUUAUCUGUAUGUGUAUUUACUUACUCUCCUGUAUCUUUUGAUCAUAUGAAAUAUAUACUCUUUACAUUAUACUUCAGCAUUGAAUCCAGUUAGAACCCUUUAUUGA
This is an RNA transcript of Nicotiana attenuata, 1033 nucleotides long. RefSeq lists it as uncharacterized. The record is from RefSeq and is a predicted model, not a curated record. Lineage: Eukaryota; Viridiplantae; Streptophyta; Magnoliopsida; Solanales; Solanaceae. The transcript is spliced from 3 exons.